Molecule: ribosomal RNA, 303 nt
Filed under: uncultured bacterium
Lineage: Bacteria
Description: partial 16S ribosomal RNA
Rfam family: Bacterial small subunit ribosomal RNA
Source: RNAcentral
AGCAGCAGCCGCGGUAACACGAAGGGUGCAAGCGUUACUCGGAAUUACUGGGCGUAAAGCGUGCGUAGGUGGUGGUUUAAGUCCGUUGUGAAAGCCCUGGGCUCAACCUGGGAAUUGCAGUGGAUACUGGAUCACUAGAGUGUGGUAGAGGAUAGUGGAAUUUCCGGUGUAGCAGUGAAAUGCGUAGAGAUCGGAAGGAACAUCUGUGGCGAAGGCGACUAUCUGGGCCAACACUGACACUGAGGCACGAAAGCGUGGGGAGCAAACAGGAUUAGAUACCCCAGUAGUCCCUGUCUCUUAUAC